Molecule: ribosomal RNA, 694 nt
Filed under: Micromonospora sp. CNY-474
Lineage: Bacteria; Bacillati; Actinomycetota; Actinomycetes; Micromonosporales; Micromonosporaceae
Description: bacterial SSU rRNA
Rfam family: Bacterial small subunit ribosomal RNA
Source: RNAcentral
CGGAAGGCCCUUCGGGGUACUCGAGCGGCGAACGGGUGAGUAACACGUGAGCAACCUGCCCCAAGCUUUGGGAUAACCCUCGGAAACGGGGGCUAAUACCGAAUAUUACUUCUGGCCGCAUGGCUGGUGGUGGAAAGUUUUUCGGCUUGGGAUGGGCUCGCGGCCUAUCAGCUUGUUGGUGGGGUGAUGGCCUACCAAGGCGACGACGGGUAGCCGGCCUGAGAGGGCGACCGGCCACACUGGGACUGAGACACGGCCCAGACUCCUACGGGAGGCAGCAGUGGGGAAUAUUGCACAAUGGGCGGAAGCCUGAUGCAGCGACGCCGCGUGAGGGAUGACGGCCUUCGGGUUGUAAACCUCUUUCAGCAGGGACGAAGCGAGAGUGACGGUACCUGCAGAAGAAGCACCGGCCAACUACGUGCCAGCAGCCGCGGUAAGACGUAGGGUGCGAGCGUUGUCCGGAUUUAUUGGGCGUAAAGAGCUCGUAGGCGGCUUGUCGCGUCGACCGUGAAAACUUGGGGCUCAACCCCAAGCCUGCGGUCGAUACGGGCAGGCUAGAGUUCGGUAGGGGAGACUGGAAUUCCUGGUGUAGCGGUGAAAUGCGCAGAUAUCAGGAGGAACACCGGUGGCGAAGGCGGGUCUCUGGGCCGAUACUGACGCUGAGGAGCGAAAGCGUGGGGAGCGAACAGGAUUA